RNAcentral lists this ribosomal RNA (253 nucleotides) under uncultured bacterium. Its description in RNAcentral is "partial 16S ribosomal RNA". It matches the Rfam family "Bacterial small subunit ribosomal RNA", at positions 524 to 776 of the family's 1533-position model. The record is from RNAcentral.
UACGUAGGGUCCGAGCGUUGUCCGGAAUUAUUGGGCGUAAAGGGCUCGUAGGCGGUCUGUUGCGUCGGGAGUGAAAACUUACAGCUUAACUGUGAGCGUGCUUCCGAUACGGGCAGACUUGAGGUAUUCAGGGGAGAACGGAAUUCCUGGUGUAGCGGUGAAAUGCGCAGAUAUCAGGAGGAACACCGGUGGCGAAGGCGGUUCUCUGGGCCUGGCCUGACGCUGAGGAGCGAAAGCGUGGGGAGCGAACAGG